UGCAUGCCAAAAUGUAAAGGUGACAUGAGUGAUCAAAAGAGAGGGAAAGUGAAAGGUCAAGGGAGAAACUCUCAGCAUGUAGGUACAGAACCAUUUCCAUGAGGUCAGCUACAUUCCAAAGUGGCUGCGGCACUGGAUGGGAGCUGUUGGGACAUGCUGCACAGCCCAAGACAGUCUUUGAAGAUGAGGAAACUGAGGCACACAGAGAUGAAAAACUGUCCAGGUGGUUGAGCCAGAAUUGAAAUGUUGGCUGUCUUCAUCUGGAGCCCACACUUUCUACCUUCCUGUUGUGUUAUGGCUGGAUGCAUGACCUUGUCAUAUACGUAAAACAUCCACAGACUAACUGGAAAAGGACUUCACCUCAGCCAAAGGCCUUCAAGAGGAUCAAUAUUUCCAGGAUGUUGGUAUUAGCAUCCAUUGUUCGCUGGCUAGAUCUUUUCCAACAGAGCAUGUGACUCUCAUCAUUACAGCAGAGGAAUGCAUUUAUCAAAGUUAAGGAAGUCGUUUGCCAUUCGGAUGGCCCAAGAAGCAUAAAUAUUUAUCAUUGAGCCUUGUGAGAACUCUCUAUUAUAAAAAGAUUGGCUAAUUUCUUAAAACUACUCCUUCAAUAAGGACCCAGGUUAUGUGCCAUGGUAUCUGUAGCUUUCUGGCUGGGUCAGGGUGACCCGCACACAACCCUGGCAGGACGCCCUUGGACACAGUAUUUGCAUCCCUUUGGUGUGCCAAGGUAUCAAGCAUUCACAGUUCACAUUGAAACCACUAAACGAAGAGCUGUGCAAACAGGUCAUCAGUUUCUCCAGAGGGGAAUAAUCUUACAACUGUUACGAAGGGUCAAAGGUAACUUUCAUUUUGAGAUGCUAAUUACUCCAAGAAUUUGAUGCAGGAGGCAGCUGGUUAAAAUGAAUGAGUGCUGAAGCGUUGAAGGGGAAAAUCAAAUAGAUGGUUAUAAUAAAAGUGCAAUAUGCAACCUAAUAAGUAUGCAGAGAAUAAGGGACAAUAUUGUUAAUAAACAUCUAUUAGUCAA
Molecule: long non-coding RNA, 1024 nt
Filed under: Homo sapiens (human)
Lineage: Eukaryota; Metazoa; Chordata; Mammalia; Primates; Hominidae
Description: long intergenic non-protein coding RNA 1706
Source: RNAcentral